GUUUGAUCCUGGCUCAGGAUGAACGCUAGCGGCAGGCCUAACACAUGCAAGUCGAGGGGCAGCAUUUCUAGCUUGCUAGAAGAUGGCGACCGGCGCACGGGUGCGUAACGCGUAUACAAUCUACCUUUUACAGGGGGAUAGCCUUUAGAAAUGAAGAAUAAUACCCCAUAGUAAGUAUUUAUGGCAUCAUAAGAACUUUAAAGUUUCGACGGUAAAAGAUGAGUAUGCGUUCUAUUAGCUAGAUGGUGUGGUAACGGCACACCAUGGCAACGAUAGAUAGGGGCCCUGAGAGGGGGAUCCCCCACACUGGUACUGAGACACGGACCAGACUCCUACGGGAGGCAGCAGUGAGGAAUAUUGGACAAU
This 366-nucleotide ribosomal RNA is filed under the name Proboscia inermis. RNAcentral's name for it is "partial Bacterial small subunit ribosomal RNA". It matches the Rfam family "Bacterial small subunit ribosomal RNA", at positions 11 to 372 of the family's 1533-position model. The record is from RNAcentral. Lineage: Eukaryota; Bacillariophyta; Melosirophyceae; Probosciales; Probosciaceae.